Molecule: non-coding RNA, 84 nt
Filed under: Clostridium chromiireducens
Lineage: Bacteria; Bacillati; Bacillota; Clostridia; Eubacteriales; Clostridiaceae
Description: c-di-GMP-II sequence
Rfam family: Cyclic di-GMP-II riboswitch aptamer
Source: Rfam by way of RNAcentral
UUUUUUUAAGGAAACAGUGAACCGUAUAUUUUAUCUGGGCACUUUAUAUAUGGUGAGUUAAUAGUGCAACCGGCCUUGAUAGUU